GACGAACCGUGCGAACGUUGUUCGGAAUCACUGGGCUUAAAGGGCGCGUAGGUGGGUCAGCAAGUCCGGGGUGAAAUCUUUCGGCUCAACCGGAAAAGUGCCUCGGAUACUGCUGGUCUUGAGGGAGGUAGGGGUUUGUGGAACUUCUGGUGGAGCGGUGAAAUGCGUUGAUAUCAGAAGGAACGCCGGUGGCGAAAGCGACGAACUGGACCUCUUCUGACGCUGAGGCGCGAAAGCUAGGGGAGCAAACGGG
Molecule: ribosomal RNA, 253 nt
Filed under: uncultured bacterium
Lineage: Bacteria
Description: partial 16S ribosomal RNA
Rfam family: Bacterial small subunit ribosomal RNA
Source: RNAcentral